CCUACGGGAGGCAGCAGUGGGGAAUAUUGGGCAAUGGGCGCAAGCCUGACCCAGCAACGCCGCGUGAAGGAAGAAGGCCCUCGGGUUGUAAACUUCUUUUAUCAAGGACGAAACAAAUGACGGUACUGGAUGAAUAAGCCACGGCUAACUACGUGCCAGCAGCCGCGGUAAUACGUAGGUGGCGAGCGUUAUCCGGAUUUACUUGGUGUAAAGGGAGAGUAGGCGGGACUGUAAGUCAGAUGUGAAAACCAUGGGCUCAACCCAUGGCCUGCAUUUGACACUGUAGUUCUUGAGUGUAGGGGAGGCAGGCGGAAUUCCGGGUGUAGCGGUGAAAUGCGUAGAUAUACCGAGGAACACCAAUGGCGAAGGCGGCCUGCUAAACAAUAACUGACACUGAGGCGCGAAAGCGUGGGGAGCAAACAGGAUUAGAUACCCUAGUAGUC
Molecule: ribosomal RNA, 443 nt
Filed under: uncultured bacterium
Lineage: Bacteria
Description: partial 16S ribosomal RNA
Rfam family: Bacterial small subunit ribosomal RNA
Source: RNAcentral